RNAcentral lists this ribosomal RNA (120 nucleotides) under Carlito syrichta (Philippine tarsier). Lineage: Eukaryota; Metazoa; Chordata; Mammalia; Primates; Tarsiidae. The record is from RNAcentral.
GUCUACGGCCAUACCACCCUGAAUGCGCCCGAUCUCGUCUGAUCUCGGAAGCUAAGCAGCAUCGGGCCUGGUUAGUACUUGGAUGGGAGGGUCAGUUUUAUAUCAGGUACCUCUUAGGCA